Molecule: transfer RNA, 83 nt
Filed under: Heterobasidion irregulare TC 32-1
Lineage: Eukaryota; Fungi; Basidiomycota; Agaricomycetes; Russulales; Bondarzewiaceae
Rfam family: tRNA
About the family: Transfer RNA (tRNA) molecules are approximately 80 nucleotides in length. Their secondary structure includes four short double-helical elements and three loops (D, anti-codon, and T loops). Further hydrogen bonds mediate the characteristic L-shaped molecular structure. tRNAs have two regions of fundamental functional importance: the anti-codon, which is responsible for specific mRNA codon recognition, and the 3' end, to which the tRNAs corresponding amino acid is attached (by aminoacyl-tRNA synthetases). tRNAs cope with the degeneracy of the genetic code in two manners: having more than one tRNA (with a specific anti-codon) for a particular amino acid; and 'wobble' base-pairing, i.e. permitting non-standard base-pairing at the 3rd anti-codon position.
Source: Rfam by way of RNAcentral
GGUUCAAUGGUCUAAUGGUUAUGAUUUCUGUCUCACAUGGUUGGGCGCACAGAAGGUUCCCGGUUCGAUCCCGGGUUGAACCA